Molecule: long non-coding RNA, 2762 nt
Organism: Gallus gallus (chicken)
Lineage: Eukaryota; Metazoa; Chordata; Aves; Galliformes; Phasianidae
Source: Ensembl
GGCUUCUACCCUGGGCAGAUUGCAAAGAGUUCAUCUGUCUCCAGAAAUUCAUCAUAGUGGAAGAACCUGAAAAAGGUUCCAUUAAAAUAAAGAACGUACGGAGUCUCCAGCCAAAUCCAGGAGCAAAUCCAAAUCACGGUCUCUUAGAGGUUUUCACUGUUCAACAUCUUCUGAUUUCAGAGAUCUGUCAGUAGAAGGUAAUGAAAAUGCUGUGGUGGCAAGUAAUGAAGACAAACUUGUGACAAGAGCUACAUUUCCAUCAGAUAUGACUCAGUAAGCAUCCAUCAGCAGAUCCACAAAGCUGAAGAAAGGCAUUCUUACUUCUGGUCAUGAAUGGGCUGCCUGAGACUUGAGUAGAUUAUCUGAGACUUGACACAGCCUGAGAUUUCAAUUCAUUUUCUUCUUCUGACUGUGAAUCUGAGUCAGGCAAUUAAAUUAUAAAGGGGCUAUCAGCCAAUAGGAAACAGCUGCAGAGGCUGGUCUGCAAGAGGAGUCUAAUUCAUAGACACUAUAUUCCUAUCUGUAGAAGUAUUGUUUCAGGUUCAUGAGUGACUACAAGGGCAUGAAGCUGCUUUCUUGCUUUAUUCAAACUAUGGAUCAGGAGGACAUCAUGUAUCUACAUCACUACCCUUAAUUCUAGUGUCAAAAUCUUAUCUUUAAUUCCUGCUACUGUUAUGCUUUUCCUUGCUGAAAGAAUAAAUGUUUAAUUUCAAUGAAAUAGAAGUCAGAAAAAAAAUAGAAAAGUUUUGCAAAAAUAAGAUUACCUAGCAAGAUGGUGUAUAGAAUGAACCUUCUUUCUCAAUCUGCAUUACAUUCUCAAGAAGAUGAAAAAAUUCUUCUCCUCAUAUUUAAAGAUGAACUACAAAAAUAGCACUAGUGUUUUAGUGAAUGUAUUCAACAUACAGUCCUACUCUGGGCAUAUGCAAUGCCACUAAGCAGCAUUUUUUUUAAUGAAAUAGGACUUUGAAAUUCCAGAUUCUUUGCUUGUUUUAUGGCUUCUGAGAUGUAAAUGGAAGAGAGGAACAGGUAUGUCUCACUAUCUUAACAGAGACAGAGAUACUGUAUUUAAGUUUUACUUUCAGCAACCAAAAAGAGAAUGCUGUGUUGUUUGAUGUAAUCCAGUCUGGCUCCACGAAAUCCCAAGAGGCACUGGUGUUGAUUUAUGAUAAUACAAGGAAAUAUGAAGUGUACAAGGAAAUACAAAGAUAUAAAGGCAAGUUUUUGAAAUGUUGUUCAGUGAAAAGGAAGAAAAACUGGUCAGUGCUACUCCAUCAGGCAAGAUCCAUUUUCAGUUCACUGACUAGCAGGUCACCACAGGCAUUAUCAGAAGCUCUGAUCAACUGUAUCGGUAUAAUUAAAUGUGUCCCAUUUUAAGUACGAUAUCUCCUUGUUCCAGAACUCACCAUCACAGAAGAUUAUGACCUGGUGAUGGUGCGAAGAAAUACAGCAUAUAAUUUUAGAACUGUACUGUCCCCUAUGGCCAACGACAUGAUUUAGAGAGUCAUAGAACUAUUAAGGUUGGAAAAGACCUCCAAGAUCAUCUAGUCCAACAGUCCAGCAACCACCAGUAUUUCCCUACUAAACCAUGUCCCUUAGUACAACAUCUAAAUGUUUCUUGAACACCUCCAGAGACAGUGACUUAACCACCUCCCUCGGCUGCCUGUUCAAGUGCCUGACCACUCUUUUGGAAAAGGAAUUUUUCCUAAUAUCUAACCUGAACCUUUCCUGGAGCUACUUGAGGCCAUUCCCUGUUGUCCUGUUGCUAGUUAUGUGGGAGAAGAGGCUGACCUCCACCUCCCCACAUCCUCCUUUUGGGGAGUUUUAGAGAGCAAUAAGAAGUUAUUAAAUCCACCAGUAGUCUUAAUUUUCAAUAAUUAAGUCACCAAAUUGUAUUUGGUUCUCUUUGAUAUUCGUAUAGCUAACUGGAACCAAUUUGUGUUUGUUUUUUGCAUUGCUUUUUCAGACUAUUGUGGAAGGAGCUGUAUGUUUAACCACACAUGUUAUAUAUGUUGAACUUUGUCCCACCAUGCAUUCUGUUUAUGUGUCAGUGUAGUGAGCUGCUUCAAACAGUGAUGAUGUCUUACCAAAACAAAUUUUAAAAGUUUGGAUUAUCUAGAAUAGAAUUUUCAUUCCCAAAUUACAUAGAAAAUACAGAUGGGUCUUACUAAGUAUUGCAUCUGUGACAUGAUCUAGGUGCAGGUUAUCUUAACUCAUCAGAUUAAGAGCUAUAUAUUUGUAAAGAUGACUUGUGAAUGAAGAGUUACCGGAGAGAUGAUGUAGUAUGUGUCUAUCAUUAGGUGAACCAGAAAACAGGAAAUUCUUACGCAGAAUAUAGCAGGAAUAAUGAUUGUUCACACGGAGCUGCUUUAGAUUAAAUAGGAUUUAGAUGUAGCUGGAUUUAUCAAUAUGGAAAUUAAUUGUAUAUGCCUCAAUUAAAGAAUGAUCUCUCUAAAGACAAGGCAAUAAAUUUUGAAAGUCUUAGCAAGUGAUGGUUCAUUUUUUCUCUUAUUUUGUUGCUAUUUCUCUUUAAUCUUUAAGGAUUUACUCCAAAAAGUACUAUAGAAUUAAUGGAAUUUUUAUUUGAUGUUAGAUUAACUCUGUGAGUCUUUUCAAUAAACUGUGAGGAUUUCAUAAUUCAUGACUCUGUAACUUUCAGUACUGGAUGAAGUGCUGCAAUCAGUGCUCAUCAAACACAAAAUAUUUAUGGAUCAAGAUUUGGGAAUUAUAAAUCCUGUAAUUUAUUGGCAAUAAAGUAAGAUAAC